UGCCCUGGAGGAUCACGCGCUCGUGGUAUGUAAGGACUGUGUGCCCAGAGGAUCACAUGCUCGUGCUGUGUAAGGACUGCGUGCCCAGCAGGGAGCUCAUCCCCUACCAGGGAGCAGGGCACUCACAAGACACCGCGGACACGGGGCCGAGUCAGUCCUCUGGUCCUAGGCCUUGGCAGGACGCUCCAGCAGCCCACAGGACAGGUGAAAGGGCUCUGGAAGAGAAGAAAAAUGCUCCCACCCCGUUAGACUGUCUGCAAGAUAUCAUCUCAGCACCCUGCACAGAAUGUCCACUGCCUCUCCCAUAGGCCCUGGGAGGAAAGAGCAAAAAGGGGUGGUCAUCCAGGCUGGACACCAGAGUCCCUGUUCUCAGCUGAGUCCCCCAAGACAUCACUGCCACCCAAAACAGAGGACCUCGCAGUGUGGCCACUCUGCCUGGAGGCCAAGGGGAGGAGAAGGAUCCUUGCUGGCUUUUUUGGCUCCCUGAUCUGGAGGCCUUUCCUCAUUCUCACUGUGAGGAAAGACUCCCCUACCAGCCGUGAGUUCCCCUAUUUUCCCAUCCACCUAGGUGGGCACUUCCGUUCAAAAGGGUUAAGCCAUCCAGGCGCAGUGGCACACGCCUGUAAUCCCAGCACUUUGGGAGGCCGAGGCGGGCAGAUCACCUGAGGUCAAGAGUUCCAGACCAGCCUGGCCAACAUGGUGAAACCCUGUCUCUGCUAAAAAUACAAAAAAAAAAAAAAAUUACCUGAGCGUGGUGGCAGACACCUGUAAUCCCAGCUACUCAUGAGGCUGAGGCAGGAGAAUCACUUGAACCCAGGAGUCAGAGGUUGCAGUGAGCCAAGAUCACUCCAUUGCACUCCAGCCUGGGCAACAAGAACAAAACUCCAACUAAAAAAGAAAAAAAACAGGAGCCACUGCUAACUGUUCCACAGACUCUUGAAAAGGUUAAACAGGUUAAUACAUGGAAAGGGCUUAGUUGGAAUGACUAACACAUAGCAAGCAAUAUAUGAACAUCACAUGAAUAAAAAAUGUGGCAACAGGUCCCAUUGUUCUUUUUGUUGAAUAUGUCUUCUACCUAUUUAUCAAAAUUCCAUUAAACUCGCCCAGUUGACACAUGUGCUCUCCUCCCACAUAAAACCCACAUGUCCCAGACUCUCUUGCAACUAGGUCUGGUCAUGUCACCAUGCCCCUGGAUCUGAGUGUUUUGUUCUUUGGGGUUUUUUGGGGGGGUUGGGGGAAGGGUCUUGCUCUGUCACCCAGGCUGGAGUGCAGUGGGGAUGAUCAUGGCUCACUGUAGCCUCUAAUUCCUGGGCUUAAGUGAUCCUCCUGACUCAGCCUCCCAGAUGGCUGGGAUUACAGGUGCACCACCCUGCCUGGCUAAUUUGGGGAGUUUUUGUGUUUUAUUUUUGUAGAUAUGGGGUCUCACUAUGUUGCCCAGUCUGGUCUUGAACUCCUGGCUUCCAGCAAUCCUCCUGCCUCCGCCUCCCAAAGUGCUGGGAUUACAGGUGUGAGCGACCAUGCCCAACCUGGAUCUGAGUGUUGUGUGGCAAUUUCUGGAACCUUACUGCAAAGAAGGCUGGGGCUGGCCUUUUGCACCCCUUCUGUACCCUAUCCUCCAAGCUGUUUCUGGAGUUGCCAUCUGCAACCACAGGAAUGAGGCCGCACCCUGGGGAUGAGAACAGUAAGCUGGAAGGAGCCUGUGCCCCGGACACUGCAGAGCCCCUCUCCAGCCCCGGGCUGCUCCAAAUGGGCUUCUACAUGACACAGAAAGAAACUUUCCUUUUGUUUAAGCCCCCAAGCAAAUACACUUUCCCAGUAGCCAUGAAGAUGAAAACAGUGGCCCCAGACUUGGGCACUCCAGCUGAGAAUGCCAGUCGGGAACCCACACACCAAAGGACGACUCUCUCACACCACAGGAGGUACUGCACAUGCCUUCUGAAUCCCGGAAGGACAAGCCUGGGCAUUGUAGGCAAGCAAUCCACCUCAACCCAUGGGCUUUGACUCUCACAGAUGAGAAAUGUAAGGACUCAUCCUCUGUGGCUCACUCCCUCAAAGAGUUUCUCACGUGGGCCUCUGCCUUUAGAAGUCGGGUUUUGGCUGGGCGCGGUGACUCAUGCCUGCAAUCCCAGCACUUUGGGAGGCUGAGAAUGGGAGGAUCGUUUCAGCCAGGAGUUCAAGACCAGCCUGCGCCACAUAAGGAGACCCCGUCUCCACAAAAAAUAAAAUAAAAAUAAAAAUAAAA
RNAcentral lists this long non-coding RNA (2242 nucleotides) under Homo sapiens (human). Its description in RNAcentral is "HSALNT0004945". The record is from RNAcentral. Lineage: Eukaryota; Metazoa; Chordata; Mammalia; Primates; Hominidae.